UUUUAUUUGCAAGAUGCUGUAUUUUAUUUAUUGAUUCAGCUUUGAUUCACACUCGUUAAACGUACUUUUGUAGUCGAUCGAUUGUGUUUUUACAAGCAUAAUUGACGAUAGUGAAAUGAGAUGCUCACUUAGUAUUCACUAACAUACAUCAGUUAUAUAAUAUUAAGUUUACAUUCAAAUUGUUUUGUACAGUCUAGCGGGUACGAACUCUUGAACAUGGAGCGGACGUAAUGAAAUAGUUUCUAAAACUUUUAACAAUUAUUCAACAACACGGUGGGUCUAGUUUUUGCCCUAGGUAGAAAUUUACUUGAACGUCGUGAAAUUCUUUCGUAACUAUUUCACGAAAAAAAUAAACACAAAACAAAAAGAUUUAAAAUAUGAACAUACAGCGAAAAACAAGUUGUAGCUGCGCAAUUACAUGCACGAAAGGGUAAUAUUUGCGGAAAGUUAAAUAAUCUAUCUUCUAUUUUCAAAACCAGGUUGUUCGCUCAAAUUCUUUUGAAGCACUAAACGGCGCAAUCCGAAAAACGAUAGAUAAUCGAAAGCUUCAUCAACUACAGGAGUAAAGUCUUUUCUUUCAAAAGCCUUCAACAUUGGGUCGGUUGAAUAAACUCGUGCUGAGACCACGUCAGCACCCAUCUCCUUCGCCUCACGAAGUGCUGAAUCUAGGAGAUCAAACGCAUACUGAUAAAAUUUAGGAAUGACAGUCCAGUGGACAAUAGUUGGUGUGUUUUGGUAUGCACCAGGAGCAUUUGCAGGCAAGAUACCUAUAAUACCAAUAACUCGUUCUUUGUCAAUGCGGGCCAUAUAAAAAUGUUUAAGAUUCUCUUCAGCCAAGCAGCCGUCAGGUUGAUUGUCUUCAGUGCUAAUCUUUGCAUACACAUUUCUACAGGGAAAUUCAAUCAACGUCAAAAAGACAGCGCUAACCAAUAUUAAUAAAACAAAAGUUCGUAAUUUUGUAUUUCCUUCUACCAUGUUUGUUAAGCGAUAUAUCCCCAUAAACACCAAACCAAAAACCGCAAGAUACAACGGGUGCCAAAAGAUUUUUUGAGAGAGAUUUCUCGAUUGACCGUUCAACGCAUUCAUGGCAAUCGAUCGAAUACUCGACAGCUCCGCAAGGGUGGGACGACGAAUAUCAAUUCUUUUACGUUGCACAUUCGACAUUUUUAUGUAAUUAAAUAUUCUUUUUUGCUAAUCUUUUUAAAAUUUAUUGUCACAAUAUUUCUUUUACAAUUACCUUCUACUGUGAAAUUUAAGAAGAUGGAGGUUCGUAAGUGGAGUAGGUAAGAAUGAAGCCAUUAUACCACCAUAGAUUUACCCAACCCUUGGUUGUUUCAGUCAAUUUUUGCGAAUUGUAAUUUCAUACAACUAGAAUUUGAUCAAAUCUACCCUCUUAUUAAAUGAUUGAGAUUAUUGAUUCUAUUGAUAAAUCACAUUUAGGGUCAACUAGCUUUUAAAAUGUUUUUAGGAAUAGAAAAGAAUAUUGUGACGAUCGAAGUAACAUUUCUAGCUGAAAUAACAAUUGGAUUUAUAAGCU
Molecule: non-coding RNA, 1537 nt
Organism: Schizosaccharomyces pombe (fission yeast)
Lineage: Eukaryota; Fungi; Ascomycota; Schizosaccharomycetes; Schizosaccharomycetales; Schizosaccharomycetaceae
Source: the annotation of a GenBank genome assembly